RNAcentral lists this ribosomal RNA (304 nucleotides) under uncultured bacterium. RNAcentral's name for it is "bacterial SSU rRNA". It matches the Rfam family "Bacterial small subunit ribosomal RNA", at positions 28 to 334 of the family's 1533-position model. The record is from RNAcentral.
GACGAACGCUGGCGGCGUGCCUAACACAUGCAAGUCGAACGGAGUUAAGUCUUCGGAUUUAACUUAGUGGCGAACGGGUGAGUAACGCGUGAGAAACCUGCCUUUCAGUGGGGGACAGCAGUUGGAAACGACUGCUAAUACCGCAUAAUGUCAUUUGGGGGCAUCCCUGGAUGACCAAAGAUUUAUUGCUGAAGAUGGUCCCGCGUCUGAUUAGCUAGAUGGCGGGGUAACGGCCCACCAUGGCGACGAUCAGUAGCCGGCCUGAGAGGGUGAACGGCCACAUUGGGACUGAGACACGGCCCAA